RNAcentral lists this ribosomal RNA (420 nucleotides) under uncultured bacterium. RNAcentral describes it as "bacterial SSU rRNA". It matches the Rfam family "Bacterial small subunit ribosomal RNA", at positions 355 to 773 of the family's 1533-position model. The record is from RNAcentral.
UAAGGAAUAUUGGUCAAUGGACGCAAGUCUGAACCAGCCAUGCCGCGUGAAGGAUGAAGGUCCUCUGGAUUGUAAACUUCUUUUAUCUGGGACGAAAACGGGAUUUUUAUCUCAAUUGACGGUACCAGAGGAGUAAGCACCGGCUAACUCCGUGCCAGCAGCCGCGGUAAUACGGAGGGUGCGAGCGUUAUCCGGAUUUACUGGGUUUAAAGGGUGCGUAGGUGGGCUUAUAAGUCAGUGGUGAAAUCUCCGAGCUUAACUUGGAAACUGCCGUUGAUACUAUAGGUCUUGGAUUAUCUGGAGGUAAGCGGAAUAUGUCAUGUAGCGGUGAAAUGCUUAGAUAUGACAUAGAACACCAAUUGCGAAGGCAGCUUACUACAUAUAAAUUGACGCUGAGGCACGAAAGCGUGGGGAUCAAAC